AAAAACUUAGGAUAAUAAAAACCAAGAACCUUAGAGAAUCGAAGCCCG
RNAcentral lists this transfer RNA (48 nucleotides) under Anolis cristatellus. RNAcentral describes it as "partial tRNA-Trp". Lineage: Eukaryota; Metazoa; Chordata; Lepidosauria; Squamata; Anolidae. The record is from RNAcentral.